AACAGUGUGAUAACUGUGGGAUUUCUUCAGCUGAUAUAUACCACUGCAGCGACUGUUCUCCCAGAACAUUUCUUUGCCUUGAGUGCAUCAGGAAAGCUCACUUGUUUCAGUAUUUUCACAUGAUGUAUAUUUGGAGGAUUAACGCAUGGGUACCCUUCUCUCCUGAUGAUGUGAUCAUAGAUUCCUUCGUACAUCCGCAUUGCAGUCACACCUACCUACUUCCGAGAAUAUAAUAGUUGUUGAUGCCAAAGGCAGACAUCAUAAAGCCAAAUGUCAAUUCUGUCCCUGUGAGGAAGAGGCAACAACCCUGAUAAGGCACCACUUUUGGCCGUCAUCACCUAAGAAACCAAAGAUGUGCUUCGACUUCCAUAUCAUGGAAAUGCUGCGGGUGUUGUACCUUCAGGUUCCUGUACCUGUGAUGGAUUUUUGCGAAGCACUGAAGCUAAUCUAUCACCCUUUUGUUGUUACAGAUAACCCAAUUCUUCAAGAUGUGUACAAGGUGC
Long non-coding RNA from Lineus longissimus, 503 nucleotides. RefSeq lists it as uncharacterized. The record is from RefSeq and is a predicted model, not a curated record. The transcript is spliced from 4 exons. Lineage: Eukaryota; Metazoa; Nemertea; Pilidiophora; Heteronemertea; Lineidae.